This 253-nucleotide ribosomal RNA is filed under the name uncultured bacterium. RNAcentral describes it as "partial 16S ribosomal RNA". It matches the Rfam family "Bacterial small subunit ribosomal RNA", at positions 524 to 776 of the family's 1533-position model. The record is from RNAcentral.
UACAGAGGGGGCAAGCGUUGUUCGGAAUUACUGGGCGUAAAGGGCGCGUAGGCGGCCCGCUAAGUCGAACGUGAAAUCCCUGGGCUCAACCCGGGAACUGCGUCCGAUACUGGCAGGCUUGAAUCCGGGAGAGGGAUGUGGAAUUCCAGGUGUAGCGGUGAAAUGCGUAGAUAUCAGGAAGAACACCGGUGGCGAAGGCGGGUCUCUGGGCAGUAACUGACGCUGAGGAGCGAAAGCGUGGGGAGCGAACAGG